AGAGGUUGGGUGAGAAAGGAGAGAGAAAAGGCCAGAGACAUCAGUCGAGUGAGCAUCUCCGACACGGCAACAACUGCAGUGCCAUAUCUGUCACCAUCUGCCUUCUUCACCGUAUUGCCAGUUCGCAUCCAUGGGCGUCGUAUGCUGUUGGGUGUUGUAUCGUUG
Molecule: long non-coding RNA, 165 nt
Organism: Daphnia pulicaria
Lineage: Eukaryota; Metazoa; Arthropoda; Branchiopoda; Diplostraca; Daphniidae
Exons: 3
Source: RefSeq, a predicted model, not a curated record